GUGUAUGUAUGUGUGGUGUAUAUAUAAAUGUGUGAGUGUGUAUGUGUGCAUGUGUCUGUUUGUGAGUGUACGUGUCUGUGUAUAUGUGCUGCAUGUGUGUCUGUGUGUGUGUAUAAGAGAGUAUGUGAACAUGUGUGUGUAUAUAUGUGUGGUGUAUAUAUGUGUGAGUGUGUGUGUAUGUGUGUGUUUGUGUGUAUGUGUCUGUCUGUCCGUGUGUGCAUCUGUUAUUUAAUUAGAGCAAUUUUGGCAUCUGAUUCCUAGUUACACAUGUCCAAAUGGCAGCUGACUUUAAGGACUCAUUACA
This 304-nucleotide long non-coding RNA is filed under the name Rattus norvegicus (Norway rat). RNAcentral describes it as "long non-coding RNA NONRATT023999". Lineage: Eukaryota; Metazoa; Chordata; Mammalia; Rodentia; Muridae. The record is from RNAcentral.